RNAcentral lists this small RNA (148 nucleotides) under Listeria monocytogenes. Its description in RNAcentral is "Listeria sRNA rli48". It matches the Rfam family "Listeria sRNA rli48". Lineage: Bacteria; Bacillati; Bacillota; Bacilli; Caryophanales; Listeriaceae. The record is from RNAcentral. RNAcentral also lists the same sequence under 1 other name.
GACGUGAUAUACUUUUAUAGAGGGAGGGGAGUUUCACCCCUCUGGUUACUUGUCCUUGUUUUUGUCUAUCUUGCGUAAUGUUAUCAGCGCUACUGCAAGAGUUACAAUUUCAAGGACUGUUUUUAUUUCCUCUAAGAUGUCUUUCACU